CCUACGGGAGGCAGCAGUAGGGAAUCUUCCGCAAUGGACGAAAGUCUGACGGAGCAACGCCGCGUGAGCGAUGAAGGCCUUCGGGUCGUAAAGCUCUGUUGUUAGGGAAGAACAAGUGCUAGUUGAAUAAGCUGGCACCUUGACGGUACCUAACCAGAAAGCCACGGCUAACUACGUGCCAGCAGCCGCGGUAAUACGUAGGUGGCAAGCGUUAUCCGGAAUUAUUGGGCGUAAAGCGCGCGCAGGUGGUUUCUUAAGUCUGAUGUGAANGCCCACGGCUCAACCGUGGAGGGUCAUUGGAAACUGGGAGACUUGAGUGCAGAAGAGGAAAGUGGAAUUCCAUGUGUAGCGGUGAAAUGCGUAGAGAUAUGGAGGAACACCAGUGGCGAAGGCGACUUUCUGGUCUGUAACUGACACUGANGCGCGAAAGCGUGGGGAGCAAACAGAUUAGAUACCCUGGUAGUCCACGCCGUAAACGAUGAGUGCUAAGUGUUAGAGGGUUUCCNCCCUUUAGUGCUGAAGUUAACGCAUUAAGCACUCCGCCUGGGGAGUACGGCCGCAAGGCUGAAACUCAAAGGAAUUGACGGGGGCCCGCACAAGCGGUGGAGCAUGUGGUUUAAUUCGAAGCAACGCGAAGAACCUUAC
RNAcentral lists this ribosomal RNA (645 nucleotides) under bacterium HN32-41. Its description in RNAcentral is "bacterial SSU rRNA". It matches the Rfam family "Bacterial small subunit ribosomal RNA", at positions 338 to 974 of the family's 1533-position model. The record is from RNAcentral.